Panicum virgatum (switchgrass) is the source of this 644-nucleotide long non-coding RNA. RefSeq lists it as uncharacterized. The transcript is spliced from 3 exons. Lineage: Eukaryota; Viridiplantae; Streptophyta; Magnoliopsida; Poales; Poaceae. The record is from RefSeq and is a predicted model, not a curated record.
AUAGAACAAGAGAAGAUGGGGCAUCGUCAUAUCUCAUGGAAGCAUGUAUCGGAUAACUACUGCUUGACACAUCAUAAUGUGAAGCUGAUAGAUGAUAGUUCUGCACUUUCUUCCCACGGCGUCCGUAACAACUCUAAGGCUCCUUCGUGUGUGGUGCGUGGCUGUGUGCUCGUUCGUCCCAUGUAGGAGAACCGGCAGGCACCAGGCAGUGGCAAACCUAGGAUUUCAUAGAGGGUAUGCCUGGGCGCGGGCGGCAUUCGGAGCGGAGCGAGCCUGGGAGGGGAUGGAGGCUAAGGGUCUGUUUGGUCAGGCUUAGUCUCCAACUGAUAAUCUGGUGGAGCGGGACGCUCGGAGCAGCCGCCAGCGCGACGAAGACCGGCGGAGUUGGCUGAACAUUUUGGUUGGUACUCUGCCACUGGUUGCAAUGCAGAAACUUGCAAUCAUCUUUCAGAGAGAAAAAAAAGGGAACAUAUAGCAUGAUGAAGCGGCGGCGGCCAACGCACUAAAACUAGCCGCAUGCUUGCAAUGCUCAACAGCUGCCCGACGCAGCUAGUGUUCCAAAACCAAAUCAAACUGUUUAUUUUUUGAACCAAACUAAAUCAGACUGAUUGUUUUUUUAAGGAAUUUUGAUUCCAUUACGACGA